Acanthosepion pharaonis is the source of this 113-nucleotide non-coding RNA. NCBI's taxonomy places the organism in Eukaryota, Metazoa, Mollusca, Cephalopoda, Sepiida, Sepiidae. The record is from the annotation of a GenBank genome assembly.
UACAGCCAUAUCACAUUGAAACAUUGGUUCCCGUACAAUCACUGAAGCUAAGCAAUGCCAAGCCUGGUCAGUUCCUAGAUGGGUGACCGCUUGGUAAUACCAGGUGCAGUAAG